UUGAUUUGUAGCAACAAAAAUAUAUACCUAAUACUAAUCACUAAUUAAUCCGGCCACUCUAAUUCUCUAAACCAAACCGGUGCGUGCCUGGUCCUUUCCCCGUCGCAGUUCGCACCAGAGGCCACAUCCAACCAUCCAGGAUCCAUCACGACCACGCCCUGAUUUGGAUCCACUCGUUCCCCACCCCAGUCUGCAUCGCGACCACGCCCCCACGGCACGCACAACAGCGCACUCCCCCACCGCACGUCC
This 249-nucleotide long non-coding RNA is filed under the name Hordeum vulgare. RNAcentral's name for it is "long non-coding RNA (HVUL_LNC002880)". The record is from RNAcentral. Lineage: Eukaryota; Viridiplantae; Streptophyta; Magnoliopsida; Poales; Poaceae.